GACGAACGCUGGCGGCGUGCUUAACACAUGCAAGUCGAACGGAAAGGCCUGCUUUCCCUUGUGGAUUGCGGGUACUCGAGUGGCGAACGGGUGAGUAACACGUGAGUGAUCUGCCCCCAACUUGGGUAUAAGCCUGGGAAACUGGGUCUAAUUCCCGAUAGGACUGCAGGGUGGUGCCUGUGGUGGAAAACGAUUUUCUAGUGGUUGGGGAUGAGCUCGCGGCCUAUCAGCUUGUUGGUGGGGUAAUGGCCUACCAAGGCGGCGACGGGUAGCCGGCCUGGGAGGGGGGACGGCCACAUUGGGACUGAGAUACGGCCCAGACUCCUACGGGAGGCAGGAGUGGGGAAUAUUGCACAAUGGGCGGAAGCCUGAUGCAGCGACGCCGCGUGGGGGAUGACGGCCUUCGGGUUGUAAACUCCUUUCGACCGCGAGGAAGCCACCUGGUUGGAAGGGUGGUGACGGUAGUGGUAGAAGAAGCACCGGCUAACUACGUG
This 494-nucleotide ribosomal RNA is filed under the name uncultured bacterium. Its description in RNAcentral is "partial 16S ribosomal RNA". It matches the Rfam family "Bacterial small subunit ribosomal RNA", at positions 28 to 507 of the family's 1533-position model. The record is from RNAcentral.